AUCACAGAAUAUUAUUUUUCUGAUCGCGUCUCAAUCGCACUAAAGCCGAUCACUGUGCGAGCAAAUAAAAAUCUAAAAAAGUUUAACUUCGAAUCGAGUCUAGAAAAAAAAAAAAAAGUUGUAUAUACACAUGGAAGAGCCCCAGCUGCUCCAUGAAGAUCUGGAACGAAAACUGAAAGUUAAAAACAUUCCAAUCAAACAUAAGCUUGAAGCAGAGGAAAAAUUUUUUGUAGCAGCCAGAGUAGGAAUAGGAACUGACUACUGCUGAAAGUAUUGUAUAGCUGCUUGCUCACAGAUACAGCUCACUGCGAAACAUUAUAAUUUUUUUUUUUCUUUCAGUUUUGUUAUUUGCUUAUUUUAUUCCAGUUUUUCUGUGACGUAAGUCGACGAGAAAUAUACAGACGAAAUUAACAUUAAAAGAUAGAAGAGAAGGUAGUACUAAGAAACAAAAAAGCCUCUUUGGAAUGAUGGCGCGUGGUAGCUCAUAUAUAGGUACCUUUAAGAUGCAGAAGCUUGCUUGGAAAUGUUUAACCAAGUUUAUAAAGAAACCAAACGAAUAUAAUAUUCAGAUUGAUACCGAUGAUGUUGAUGAUGAUCGGACGAGUUGUUGUGAAGCUAGCUGUAGGUUAUGCUAAUUAUAGCUGGAAUGAUUGUGGCUAUAAGGAAACAGGAACGGAAUGAGGGUUUAAAUUUGUUGGGGCUCUUGGAAAACUGCAAUUU
This is a long non-coding RNA of Episyrphus balteatus (marmalade hoverfly), 720 nucleotides long. RefSeq lists it as uncharacterized. The record is from RefSeq and is a predicted model, not a curated record. The transcript is spliced from 3 exons. NCBI's taxonomy places the organism in Eukaryota, Metazoa, Arthropoda, Insecta, Diptera, Syrphidae.